RNAcentral lists this ribosomal RNA (254 nucleotides) under uncultured bacterium. Its description in RNAcentral is "partial 16S ribosomal RNA". It matches the Rfam family "Bacterial small subunit ribosomal RNA", at positions 524 to 776 of the family's 1533-position model. The record is from RNAcentral.
UACGUAGGGUGCGAGCGUUGUCCGGAAUUAUUGGGCGUAAAGAGCUCGUAGGCGGUGAGUCGAGUCGGCCGUGAAAACCUGCAGCUUAACUGUGGGCUUGCGGUCGAUACGGGCAUGACUGGAGUUCGGCAGGGGAGACUGGAAUUCCUGGUGUAGCGGUGAAAUGCGCAGAUAUCAGGAGGAACACCGGUGGCGAAGGCGGGUCUCUGGGCCGAUACUGACGCUGAGGUGCGAAAGCGUGGGGAGCAAACAGG